This 1896-nucleotide ribosomal RNA is filed under the name Thalassospira profundimaris WP0211. Its description in RNAcentral is "bacterial LSU rRNA". It matches the Rfam family "Bacterial large subunit ribosomal RNA", at positions 457 to 2464 of the family's 2925-position model. The record is from RNAcentral. Lineage: Bacteria; Pseudomonadati; Pseudomonadota; Alphaproteobacteria; Rhodospirillales; Thalassospiraceae.
CCUCCAAGCCUAAGUACUCCUUGACGACCGAUAGUGUACCAGUACCGUGAGGGAAAGGUGAAAAGCACCCCGAUAAGGGGAGUGAAAUAGUUCCUGAAACCGGAUGCCUACAAGCAGUUGGAGCCUCUUUAUGGGGUGACAGCGUACCUCUUGCAUAAUGGGUCAGCGAGUUAGUCUUACAAGCAAGCUUAAGCCGAUAGGUGUAGGCGCAGCGAAAGCGAGUCUUAAUAGGGCGAUUGAGUUUGUGGGAUUAGACCCGAAACCAGGUGAUCUAGCCAUGAGCAGGUUGAAGGUGAUGUAACAGUCACUGGAGGACCGAACCCACGUCUGUUGAAAAAGACGGGGAUGACUUGUGGUUAGGGGUGAAAGGCCAAUCAAACCUGGAGAUAGCUGGUUCUCCGCGAAAUCUAUUUAGGUAGAGCGUCAGACGAAUACCAUCGGGGGUAGAGCACUGAAUGGGCUAGGGGGCCUUACCGGCUUACCAAACCUAAUCAAACUCCGAAUACCGAUGAGUACUAUCUGGCAGACAGACUACGGGUGCUAAGGUCCGUGGUCGAGAGGGAAACAGCCCAGACCGCCAGUUAAGGUCCCAAAGUUGUGGCUAAGUGGGAAAGGAUGUAGGACGGCCAAGACAACCAGGACGUUGGCUUAGAAGCAGCCAUCGUUUAAAGAAAGCGUAACAGCUCACUGGUCUAAAUAAGCUGUCCCGCGCCGAAGAUGUACCGGGGCUCAAGCCACACACCGAAACUGCGGACUUGUUCUUUGAACAAGUGGUAGCGGAGCGUUCCGUAAGCCUGUGAAGGUGUGCCGUAAGGCAUGCUGGAGGUAUCGGAAGCGAGAAUGCUGACAUGAGUAGCGAUAAAGGGAGUGAGAACCUCCCUCGCCGAAAGCCCAAGGGUUCCUGCGCAAGGCCAAUCCGCGCAGGGUGAGUCGGCCCCUAAGACGAGGCAGAAAUGCGUAGUCGAUGGGAAACAGGUUAAUAUUCCUGUACCCGUGAGAAGUGACGGCCUCUGGAAGUAGUUUUUCCUUAUUGGAUUGGAGAAGCUGCCAAGGAGGUCCAGGAAAUAACUCUCACAUAUGGACCGUACCCCAAACCGACACAGGUGGGCAGGUUGAAUAUACCAAGGCGCUUGAGAGAAUGGUGUUGAAGGAACUCGGCAAAUUGCCCCCGUAACUUCGGGAGAAGGGGGCCCACCGUGAAGGCAACUUUACGGUGGGGGCACAGACUAGGGGGUGGCGACUGUUUACUAAAAACACAGGGCUCUGCGAAGUCGCAAGACGACGUAUAGGGUCUGACGCCUGCCCGGUGCCGGAAGGUUAAGAGGAGAUGUGCAAGCAUUGAAUUGAAGCCCCGGUAAACGGCGGCCGUAACUAUAACGGUCCUAAGGUAGCGAAAUUCCUUGUCGGGUAAGUUCCGACCUGCACGAAUGGCGUAACGACUUCCCCACUGUCUCCAACACCAACUCAGCGAAAUUGAAUUCUCCGUGAAGAUGCGGAGUACCCGCGGUCAGACGGAAAGACCCCGUGCACCUUUACUACAGCUUUGCAGUGGUAUCAGGAUGUGAAUGUGCAGAAUAGGUGGGAGGCUUUGAAGCCAUGGCGCCAGCCAUGGUGGAGCCACCUUUGAGAUACCACCCUUUUGCUUCCUGAUAUCUAACCGAGGUCCGUUAUCCGGAUCCGGGACCCUGCAUGGCGGGUAGUUUGACUGGGGCGGUCGCCUCCCAAAGAGUAACGGAGGCGCGCGAUGGUAGGCUCAGGCUGGUCGGACAUCAGCUUAAGAGUGCAAUGGCAAAAGCCUGCCUGACUGCGAGACUGACAAGUCGAGCAGAGACGAAAGUCGGUCAUAGUGAUCCGGUGGUCCCGCGUGGAAGGGCCAUCGCUCAACGGAUAAAAGGU